Molecule: ribosomal RNA, 285 nt
Filed under: uncultured Basidiomycota
Lineage: Eukaryota; Fungi; Basidiomycota
Description: partial 18S ribosomal RNA
Rfam family: Eukaryotic small subunit ribosomal RNA
Source: RNAcentral
AAGCUCGUAGUUGAAUUUCGGACCUGGUCGGGCGGUCUGCUUAACGGCAUGUACUGUCUGACUGGGUCUUACCUCUUGGUGAGCCGGCGUGCCCUUUAUUGGUUGUGCGUUGGGGAACCAGGACUUUUACCUUGAGAAAAUUAGAGUGUUCAAAGCAGGCCUAUGCCCGAAUACAUUAGCAUGGAAUAAUAGAAUAGGACGUGCGGUUCUAUUUUGUUGGUUUCAGAGUCGCAGUAUGUAAUUAAGUAGGGUAUUAGGUUAGCUGGACGGCCGGGUCGUGGAACG